CAGAUAAAGCUUCUUUUCCGAACUGGCUUUGACAAGGCGGAACUCAAGGGCUGUACGGCAGUCAUCCAUGUCAGCGUGUACCAGACAAUCAAAGAGAUUAGAUAAAAACUAUCAGAAAUCAGGUUGGAUUACCCACCCCUUAACAAAGAAGCCAUACAGGAUGUAAGAAAACUAUGGGAAGAUUCAUCCAUCCAGGAAACUUGCUUGUGUGGAAGUGUGCUGCUGCUGCAAGUUCCUGACUGUGCACAGUACUUCAUGGACAAUCUGGACCGAUUAGCUGAAGCAGAUUACGUACCAACAAAGGUGUUGUUAACCACUCGUUUACUUCAGCAUGAACAUCAUCUUGGUCGGCCUAUUAACCAAAAUCUAGGUAGCCUUUUGAUGGAUUUCCUGUAUUUUUUGUGUGUAAGUGAGUAUUUAUGAACACUUCAUUGUUUAAAACACAAGGGAAAAGAUGAGUGCCUGAUGUGGAAAAGGCAUGUAAUGAAUGACUAUAUGGGCCCAGUGUAUGGUUUCUCUUUUGGGACGGCUAAAUUAGCAAUAUAUUGGUGCAUCUGACCUCUAGCCGCUUUCAAACAUUCUGGAUGACAUGAAUGUAUUUGAUCCACGCCAUAAGCGUAUUUCCAUCCAAGGAAGUGGAAUUUAUUUGAACUGAGAAAGAGGGCACAGCAUUGAUCCAAUUCACAUCGAUGAUCCUCUUUGCCCUGCUAACAACGUGCGCAAGAAUUAUUUCCGGGUCCACCACUGCAUCAAGGUUGGCUCAAAUUAUCUUUUCUGGACUGGUUGAAUCCUUCUGUUGUUGUCUAGAGCUUUUGGAGUUGUGGCAAUGCUGUGAUUAUGCUCUUUUAUCUGGUAAUUUGUUUGACCGGACAAUCUUGGUAUUGAAAUUUAGUCUUUGUGCGGUACUAGUACUAAUGCAUUCCUUGUCUGGCCUUUAAAGAUAUAAAUAUUUGUCCGGCAAUCACGGAUCAACAAGUGCUAUUGGUAUUUUCUGAUGCUUUUCAUGGCAGGCUUUUGCUGAUGCUUUUGCAGUUCUAGAGAACGAGCUACUGCAGUUCAUUGCAGAAUGUAACACGCCCGCAUCAUCAUUCAGCCUACUGAAGAAAAUAAUUCCAAGCAUUGAUUCCAAUGAUAUGUAGCAGUAAAAAGAACCUAUGAUUCCACGAGCUGCAGGAACUGUUGGGUUGGAAUGGCCUCCUGUGUUCUAGACACCGAGUUACUACUGCAGCUGGUGGAAAAGGAGGCUUGUUCUAAUGUAUGAUGCCAGCCACCCUCCUCUCGCCUCUGGCUGCUGAGCACCCGAGACUGUUAAUUGAUGUAUUAGGCGGAGGAAUUGGAUGAUUCGAGAGCAAGAUGGGGGGUGCACUCUGCACACAUAAGUUCCUUAACCUCGUGCCGGUGGUAUGUGCUGCCAAGGAUGUGACAUGGACAUGGACACGGUCACGGAGGAGCAGUACAAGCAGACCCGCACAGAACUCUUGACCCGGAGAAGCACGCAGGAUAAGCUCUAGCAGAGGCUCUGCAUGUUUUCUGAAUCAUCUGUUCCCUGAACCUUACGAAACCGCUGAAGAAAACAGGAGCAAUAUCCGUCGGUAUGGAGGGCAAGUCCUUGGUGCUUUUGGCAGUCUGCAUGAGCUUGUGGAACAAGAAAUGGAGAAUUGCUAUGGAGGAGGCUACCUGACUUGAUGCUGGAACUGGUGACCGGUAUUGGCGGAGCAAUUUUCCAAACAGAUGUUUCUCCCGAUGAACAAGAUUCUUCCUUGAACACACCAAAAGGGUAGCUGUGAAGAUUACUGCCGGGAUCCGAGUGUCGGAUUCUUCGUUGCAGUUACCCGCACCGUGUUUGCUGAGUUGGCCUCUUUGAGAAACAAGUCAGGGCAAGCUUAUUGAUAUGAUGUGCAAAACUACAAGCACGACGGACAAGGUUGGUAUGUCUUACAAAAACAGGCUUCAGUUCCUUCGACUGAUGAGACUCAAGUUACCACUGCUUUUGUAGUGAAAGCAGACUUCCGUUCCUGCGGUUGAUUGGGUUUAAGUUACCGCCGCUUUUGCAGUGUACUUCCAACACUAAUUCAUCACUAGCACGUUGUUAAUUCACUGUGGUGAUGUUCUUCUAGUAACCAUUAAUACUAUUACCAAAGGGAAAAAGUCUAUUUCAAACCUUAAACUUGUAGUGGUCGGGCGAAACAAACCCUCAAGUUGAAAUCCCGGUCAAUUGCACCCUGAACUUUGCAAUCCCGGUCUAAAUUGAACCUUCGGGUCAUUUUCCAAACAGGGAUUGUUGACGUGGCAAAGGAUGACCGGGAUUGGGGAGGAAACGCCCGCGGGUGGGCAGGCCCAGUUUGCGGCAGUGCGUGCUGCGCGUUUUUGCUUCCGUUUUUUUGGUCGUUAUUUUUUCUGUUUUUCUUUCCUGGUUCUUUUUUCUUUUCGUUUUUAUUUUUCUUUUAUAUUUAUAAUAUUUUCUUUUUUCUUUUUUAUGAUUUUUUUUAUUUUUACUGUUUCUUUUUCCCUAUAUUAUACAAAGUUCAUUGCGUGUUACAAAAAUGUUCAUUGCAUAUUUAGCAAUGUUCACGGUAUAUUACACAAAAGUUCAUCAUGCA
This is a long non-coding RNA of Triticum aestivum (bread wheat), 2600 nucleotides long. RefSeq lists it as uncharacterized. The transcript is spliced from 8 exons. The record is from RefSeq and is a predicted model, not a curated record. NCBI's taxonomy places the organism in Eukaryota, Viridiplantae, Streptophyta, Magnoliopsida, Poales, Poaceae.